This 369-nucleotide long non-coding RNA is filed under the name Homo sapiens (human). RNAcentral describes it as "HSALNT0389584". Lineage: Eukaryota; Metazoa; Chordata; Mammalia; Primates; Hominidae. The record is from RNAcentral.
GGACAAAUUUCCCCUUUUUAUAAGGAUACCAGGCAUAUUGGAUUAGGGUUCCUCUCUACUCCAGUAGGACCUCAUCUUCACUAAUUACAUCUGCAAUAACCCUUUCCAAAUAAGGUCACAUUCUGAGGAACUAGAGCAAUCUGAAGAGGAUGUAAGUCAGUUUGAUUCCAAGUUUACACGUCAGACACCUGUCGACAGCCCAGAUGACACAACUCUCAGUGAAAGUGCCAAUCAGGUGUUUUUGAUGCCACUGCGAGAACGGGAACAAUGGAACAGGCCCUCACCAAAUGCCAAAUGUGCUAUCACCUUGAUUUUGGAUUUCCCAGCCUCCGGAACUGUGAGGAAUAAAUUUUUUUACUUAUAAAUUAC